This 251-nucleotide unclassified non-coding RNA is filed under the name uncultured Eurotiales. RNAcentral's name for it is "sequence contains 5.8S rRNA gene, ITS2, 28S rRNA gene". The stretch from base 1 to 52 matches the Rfam family "5.8S ribosomal RNA", at positions 103 to 154 of the family's 154-position model. The record is from RNAcentral. Lineage: Eukaryota; Fungi; Ascomycota; Eurotiomycetes; Eurotiales.
AACGCACAUUGCGCCCCCUGGUAUUCCGGGGGGCAUGCCUGUCCGAGCGUCAUUGCUGCCCUCAAGCACGGCUUGUUGUUGGGUCUGCGUCCCCCCGGGGACGGGCCCGAAAGGCAGCGGCGGCAUCGCGUCCGGUCCUCGAGCGUAUGGGGCUUCGUCACCCGCUCUUGUAGGCCCGGCCGGCGCCAGCCGACCCCAACCAUUUUUCUCAGGUUGACCUCGGAUCAGGUAGGGAUACCCGCUGAACUUAA